Haplochromis burtoni (Burton's mouthbrooder) is the source of this 80-nucleotide long non-coding RNA. RefSeq lists it as uncharacterized. The transcript is spliced from 2 exons. The record is from RefSeq and is a predicted model, not a curated record. NCBI's taxonomy places the organism in Eukaryota, Metazoa, Chordata, Actinopteri, Cichliformes, Cichlidae.
GCCCCCAAACGCAGCACAGACAACGGCAUGUGUCAACACUCGUUGCAAAUGAGCAAGUAAAGAGAACGAUUCUGAACUCA